AACGAACGCUGGCGGCAGGCUUAACACAUGCAAGUCGAACGCUCGUAGCAAUACGGGAGUGGCGGACGGGUGAGUAACGCGUGGGAACGUGCCCUGAGGUACGGAAUAACUGAGGGAAACUUCAGCUAAUACCGUAUGAGCCCCGAGAGGGGGAAAGAUUUAUCGCCUUGGGAGCGGCCCGCGUCGGAUUAGCUAGUUGGUGGGGUAACGGCCUACCAAGGCUUCGAUCCGUAGCUGGUCUGAGAGGACGAUCAGCCACACUGGGACUGAGACACGGCCCAGACUCCUACGGGAGGCAGCAGUGGGGAAUCUUGCGCAAUGGGGGCAACCCUGACGCAGCCAUGCCGCGUGAACGAUGAAGGCCUUAGGGUUGUAAAGUUCUUUUACCCGUGACGAUGAUGACGGUAACGGGGGAAUAAGCUCCGGCUAACUUCGUGCCAGCAGCCGCGGUAAU
Molecule: ribosomal RNA, 454 nt
Filed under: uncultured bacterium
Lineage: Bacteria
Description: bacterial SSU rRNA
Rfam family: Bacterial small subunit ribosomal RNA
Source: RNAcentral